UUGCUAGAUUGAUGGCGAGUGGCGAACGGGUGAGUAAUACAUCGGAACGUGCCCUGUAGUGGGGGAUAACUAGUCGAAAGAUUAGCUAAUACCGCAUACGACCUGAGGGUGAAAGUGGGGGACCGCAAGGCCUCAUGCUAUAGGAGCGGCCGAUGUCUGAUUAGCUAGUUGGUGGGGUAAAGGCCCACCAAGGCGACGAUCAGUAGCUGGUCUGAGAGGACGAUCAGCCACACUGGGACUGAGACACGGCCCAGACUCCUACGGGGGGCAGCAGUGGGGAAUUUUGGACAAUGGGCUAAAGCCUGAUCCAGCAAUGCCGCGUGUGUGAAGAAGGCCUUCGGGUUGUAAAGCACUUUUGUCCGGAAAGAAAUGGCUCUGGUUAAUACCUGGGGUCGAUGACGGUACCGGAAGAAUAAGGACCGGCUAACUACGUGCCAGCAGCCGCGGUAAUACGUAGGGUCCAAGCGUUACUCGGAAUUACUGGGCGUAAAGCGUGCGCAGGCGGUUGUGCAAGACCGAUGUGAAAUCCCCGAGCUUAACUUGGGAAUUGCAUUGGUGACUGCACGGCUAGAGUGUGUCAGAGGGGGGUAGAAUUCCACGUGUAGCAGUGAAAUGCGUAGAGAUGUGGAGGAAUACCGAUGGCGAAGGCAGCCCCCUGGGAUAACACUGACGCUCAUGCACGAAAGCGUGGGGAGCAAACAGGAUUAGAUACCCUGGUAGUCCACGCCCUAAACGAUGUCAACUAGUUGUUGGGGAUUCAUUCCCUUAGUAACGUAGCUAACGCGUGAAGUUGACCGCCUGGGGAGUACGGUCGCAAGAUUAAAACUCAAAGGAAUUGACGGGGACCCGCACAAGCGGUGGAUGAUGUGGAUUAAUUCGAUGCAACGCGAAAAACCUUACCUACCCUUGACAUGCCACUAACGAAGCAGAGAUGCAUUAGGUGCUCGAAAGAGAAAGUGGACACAGGUGCUGCAUGGCUGUCGUCAGCUCGUGUCGUGAGAUGUUGGGUUAAGUCCCGCAACGAGCGCAACCCUUGUCUCUAGUUGCUACGAAAGGGCACUCUAGAGAGACUGCCGGUGACAAACCGGAGGAAGGUGGGGAUGACGUCAAGUCCUCAUGGCCCUUAUGGGUAGGGCUUCACACGUCAUACAAUGGUGCAUACAGAGGGUUGCCAAGCCGCGAGGUGGAGCUAAUCCCAGAAAAUGCAUCGUAGUCCGGAUCGUAGUCUGCAACUCGACUACGUGAAGCUGGAAUCGCUAGUAAUCGCGGAUCAGCAUUCCGCGGUGAAUACGUUCCCGGGUCUUGUACACACCGCCCGUCACACCAUGGGAGUGGGCUUUACCAGAAGUAGUUAGCCUAA
This 1360-nucleotide ribosomal RNA is filed under the name uncultured Ralstonia sp. RNAcentral's name for it is "bacterial SSU rRNA". It matches the Rfam family "Bacterial small subunit ribosomal RNA", at positions 77 to 1438 of the family's 1533-position model. Lineage: Bacteria; Pseudomonadati; Pseudomonadota; Betaproteobacteria; Burkholderiales; Burkholderiaceae. The record is from RNAcentral.